CCCCGCCCCGGGGAUCGGCCCCGCCCCUGCCCGUCACCGCCGGGGUUUUCCCGUCGGCCUGCGAGUGACCCUGGGCCGAGAGCGGAAGUCCCUGUUUACAAAGUGAUGCUGACGCCCAUGGCCAGGGGCUGAACUCAUCCGUGUCUGUGAAGCGCCUUGGAGGAGGAGGCUGGAGCUCGGAGCUGCUGGCAGAGAGGCACUGGAUCCUGGCAGAGGCUGGGACAGAAAGUGCUUAGGUGGGAAGCAGGAGAUGCCUCUGGUGAGCGAGAUGGAAGCAGCUUCCUUCAGCCUGUCCGGCCAUUGGGAGGCAAAGCACAGAAGCUCUAACCCAGCACAUGCUUCAGUGGACACAAGUUAAUUUGUGGAAGGGAAAAACGUACCAGGUACUUGCCUGGAUACCACUCUAGGUAGAAGCCAGCUCUCCUGAGGGUAAAUCUGGUGACCUCCAAAUAGAAGCAUCCUGUCAACCGAACUGAUGCCAUUCUGCUAAAUAAAUAUGCAGAGACCAGGCAGGAGUGCUCAUUCCCAUGCCUGGCAUAGGGCGCAGCGUU
This is a long non-coding RNA of Chelonia mydas (Green sea turtle), 551 nucleotides long. RefSeq lists it as uncharacterized. The record is from RefSeq and is a predicted model, not a curated record. The transcript is spliced from 2 exons. NCBI's taxonomy places the organism in Eukaryota, Metazoa, Chordata, Testudines, Cheloniidae.